CUACUAGUUCAUAUAGUCAAUUUAUUAUAAAUUUUCAUAUGAACAAACUUGAUUGUGCUAUACCCAAACUAGUCAACAUAUUAGCCACUAUGGAGGAAGUCUUGAAGAGUUCAAUGGGCACUGUUCUCACUGUGGAGCAGACUUCUUCGAUCAAGAGAAAGUCUGGUUGGAAGAAGAAGAAUAAAUUCACUAAGAAGCAGAAGAAAGAGAGCAAGCCAAAGA
RNAcentral lists this long non-coding RNA (222 nucleotides) under Elaeis guineensis (African oil palm). RNAcentral's name for it is "long non-coding RNA (EGUI_LNC061849)". The record is from RNAcentral. Lineage: Eukaryota; Viridiplantae; Streptophyta; Magnoliopsida; Arecales; Arecaceae.